Molecule: long non-coding RNA, 869 nt
Organism: Astatotilapia calliptera (eastern happy)
Lineage: Eukaryota; Metazoa; Chordata; Actinopteri; Cichliformes; Cichlidae
Source: Ensembl
GGCUGUUUGAGAGCUCGGGGGACCGACGUACCUCACGUUAAGCUUGUGUAACUAAAGUUUUAUAGUUUACGGAUAGUCCAGUUUACAGAUAGUUCACGAAAAGUGACACUUUAACUUUGUUAUUGUGUGGAGAUCGAAAGCCUUCACGCAGCUGGAGGGAGUAGUAGUGUUGAUUAGCCGUAUCAAUGCGGUUAUUGUUAGCUGACUAAAAAGCGAGCUAUGGACCGACCAUCUAGGAAGACAAAGACUGUGAAUUACUGUGAGACCAAGGACUUCGAUGAUGAUGAGGAUUUUGCCUGUGUGAAGGCCCCACCCAGCAAAAAGGUCAGGGAGGAUGUGAAACAAGAACAGAAGAAAUCAUUAAGCAAGUCCUCCAGUCAAGAGGCCACCUCACAAUUAAGCCAGAAGAACAGGUAGGUGGCGAGUUAAUCUGACACUGGCUGUGACAAUCAGGUAAGAGGGCUCAUGAAACCUGCUGUGAAUAAAUGUUACCAGUUUUACUGCUGUUUAGUUUGUUUCCAGCAGAGGGCGCGCCACUUGUGUAUAUCCUGCAAUAUUGGGAAGUUUUGCUUCAGUCCGUUAGGCAGCUACAGGUUACCUAUCUACCUGCAGGGGGCGGUGGUGCCACCACUCUGUGGGUUACUCUUGCUUGUGCUGCCCUUGGUUAAUCCGCUAUCUGCUAAGAAUGAAGUUCUAAAGCACAAAAGAGCUGAAGUGAAGCUGAGCAUUAAAAAUAAUCAAGUGUCCACUGCAGCCACUGUCUUUGCUUUUCAUCUUGUACCUUUGCUUUUCUUUUUUUGCGUUCCUUUGUCGCUCCUUUCCCUGUUUUGGCCCACUUCUCAGCUCGUCAGCAUUUGGUUGAUACACAC